Molecule: ribosomal RNA, 1925 nt
Filed under: Protophormia terraenovae (northern blowfly)
Lineage: Eukaryota; Metazoa; Arthropoda; Insecta; Diptera; Calliphoridae
Description: eukaryotic LSU rRNA
Rfam family: Eukaryotic large subunit ribosomal RNA
Source: RNAcentral
CCCCCCUGAAUUUAAGCAUAUUAAUGAGGGGAGGAAAAGAAACUAACAAGGAUUUUCUUAGUAGCGGCGAGCGAAAAGAAAAUAGUUCAGCACUAAGUCACUUUGUCUUAAUGGCAAAUGUGAGAUGCAGUGUAUGGAAUGUCAAAUUUCUAGUAUGAGAAAUUAACGAUUUAAGUCCUUCUUAAAUGAGGCCAUUUACCCAAAGAGGGUGCCAGGCCCGUAUAACGUUAAUGAUUACUAGAUGGCAUUUCCAAAGAGUCGUGUUGCUUGAUAGUGCAGCACUAAGUGGGUGGUAAACUCCAUCUAAAACUAAAUAUAACCAUGAGACCGAUAGUAAACAAGUACCGUGAGGGAAAGUUGAAAAGAACUCUGAAUAGAGAGUUAAAUAGUACGUGAAACUGCUUAGAGGUUAAGCCCGAUGAACCUGAAUAUCCGUUAUAGAAAAUUCAUCAUUAUGAUUUUAAUAUUUAUAAUAUUAUAAUAAUGGUGUGCAUUUUUUCUAUAAAGGACAUUGUAAUCUAUUAACAGUUUAUUCAAAUUAUUUUGCUUGCAAUUUAAUAUAGAAUAAAUGCUUUUGAUUUGAUAAAGUGUUGAUAGAUUUAUUAUAUAUAGUGCUUAAAUAUUUAUAUUUUAUAAUAGCAUAUUAAUCAUUGAUUUUUAUGUUUAUUAUAUGCACUUAUAUGAUUAACAAUGCGAAAGAUUCAGGAUACCUUCGGGACCCGUCUUGAAACACGGACCAAGGAGUCUAACAUUUUGCAGUAUUGGGAAUAAAAACCUAAUAGCGUAAUUAACAUAACUUAAUGGGAUUAGUUUUUAGCCUAUUUAGUCUAUUAAUUCAAUCCCGGGGCGUUCUAUCAGUUAUGUAUAAUAAUAUUUAUAUUAUUUAUACCUCUAACUAGAGCGUACCUUGAGCAUAUAUGCUGUGACCCGAAAGAUGGUGAACUAUACUUGAUCAGGUUGAAGUCAGGGGAAACCCUGAUGGAAGACCGAAACAGUUCUGACGUGCAAAUCGAUUGUCAGAAUUGAGUAUAGGGGCGAAAGACCAAUCGAACCAUCUAGUAGCUGGUUCCCUCCGAAGUUUCCCUCAGGAUAGCUGGUGCAUUUAAAAAUUAUGUAAAAUAAUCUUAUCUGGUAAAGCGAAUGAUUAGAGGCCUUAGGGUCGAAACGACCUUAACCUAUUCUCAAACUUUAAAUGGGUAAGAACCUCACCUUUCUUGGUAUGAAGGUUGUGGUUGUGAUAUAAUGUGCCCAGUGGGCCACUUUUGGUAAGCAGAACUGGCGCUGUGGGAUGAACCAAACGUAAUGUUACGGUGCCCAAAUUAACAACUCAUGCAGAUACCAUGAAAGGCGUUGGUUGCUUAAAACAGCAGGACGGUGGACAUGGAAGUCGUAAUCCGCUAAGGAGUGUGUAACAACUCACCUGCCGAAGCAACUAGCCCUUAAAAUGGAUGGCGCUUAAGUUGUAUACCUAUACAUUACCGCUAAAGUAGAUGGUUUAUGUUCAAUUUCGGUUGGAUUAUAAACUUUGAAACUUUAAGUCGGUCCUAAGUUCAAGGCGAAAGCCGAAAAUUUUCAAGUUAUAAUGAAAAGUAAUUAAACACUUGAAUAAUUUUGAACGAAAGGGAAUACGGUUCCAAUUCCGUAACCUGUUGAGUAUCCGUUUGUUAUUAAAUAUGGGCCUUGUGCUCAUCCUGGCAACAGGAACGACCAUAAAGAAGCCGUCGAGAGAUAUCGGAAGAGUUUUCUUUUCUGUUUUAUAGUCGUACUACCAUGGAAGUCUUUCGAAGAGAGAUAUGGUAGAUGGACUAGAAGAGCAUGACAUUUACUGUUGUGUCGAUAUUUUCUCCUCGGACCUUGAAAAUUUAUGGUGGGGUCACGCAAACUUCUCAACAGGCCGUACCAAUAUCCGCAGCUGGUCUCCAGGA